UGACCUCAGCUCAGACGAGAGUACCCGCUGAACUUAAGCAUAUUACUAAGCGGAGGAAAAGAAACCAACGGGGAUUCCCAUAGUAACGGCGAGUGAAAGGGGAAGAGCCCAGCGCCGAAUCCUGCUGCUGGCAACGGUGGUAGGAACUGUGGCGUGAAGACAGUCCAUUCCAGUGCGGCUAGCUUGCGUAAGUUCUCCUGAGUGAGGCUCCAUCCCAUGGAGGGUGCAAGGCCCGUAUCGUAAGCAGUCGGUGCUGGUUUAAGCUGUUGGAGAGUCGCCUUGUUUGCGAGUACAAGGUGAAGUCGGUGGUAAACUCCAUCGAAGGCUAAAUAUGACCACGAGUCCGAUAGCGAACAAGUACCGUGAGGGAAAAUUGAAAAGCACUUUGAAGAGAGAGCGAAACAGUGCGUGAAACCGCUUAGAGGCAAGCAGAUGGGGCCUCGAAGGCAAAGCAGUGAAUUCAGCUGGUAGUCCGUAGUGCCGGCUUGCUCAUAGACCGCAAGGCUAUGGUAGGUUGUGAGGCUGCGGCUGCUAGUGCACUUUCACUGUUUGUACGCCACCGCCGUUGAGCGAGCGUCCGUCAGGCCAGCGUGUGAAGCCUUGUUCCUGCAAGGGAACAGGUGUCUUACUGCUGGCUAUCGACGCGUUCGCANCCUCACCGGUCAUGUCAGCGUGUGCCAGCGUAUUGCGUAUUGGGCUCGUGCACCCUAUGUUUGCG
This 718-nucleotide non-coding RNA is filed under the name Ramazzottius varieornatus. Its description in RNAcentral is "Eukaryotic large subunit ribosomal RNA". It matches the Rfam family "Eukaryotic large subunit ribosomal RNA", at positions 1 to 624 of the family's 3401-position model. The record is from Rfam by way of RNAcentral. Lineage: Eukaryota; Metazoa; Tardigrada; Eutardigrada; Parachela; Ramazzottiidae.